UACGUAGGUGGCAAGCGUUGUCCGGAUUUACUGGGCGUAAAGGGAGCGUAGGUGGAUAUUUAAGUGGGAUGUGAAAUACUCGGGCUUAACCUGGGUGCUGCAUUUCAAACUGGAUAUCUAGAGUGCAGGAGAGGAAGGUAGAAUUCCUAGUGUAGCGGUGAAAUGCGUAGAGAUCCGGAGGAACACCAGUGGCGAAGGCGACACGCUGGGCCGUACCUGACACUGAUGCGCGACAGCAUGGGGAGCAAACAGG
RNAcentral lists this ribosomal RNA (253 nucleotides) under uncultured bacterium. Its description in RNAcentral is "partial 16S ribosomal RNA". It matches the Rfam family "Bacterial small subunit ribosomal RNA", at positions 524 to 776 of the family's 1533-position model. The record is from RNAcentral.